AGGGACGGAAGCAGUGGCUUCCGUCCCU
This 28-nucleotide unclassified non-coding RNA is filed under the name Stenotrophomonas maltophilia. RNAcentral's name for it is "IRE". Lineage: Bacteria; Pseudomonadati; Pseudomonadota; Gammaproteobacteria; Lysobacterales; Lysobacteraceae. The record is from RNAcentral.